Molecule: RNA transcript, 1038 nt
Organism: Nycticebus coucang (slow loris)
Lineage: Eukaryota; Metazoa; Chordata; Mammalia; Primates; Lorisidae
Gene name: glyceraldehyde-3-phosphate dehydrogenase-like
Exons: 2
Source: RefSeq, a predicted model, not a curated record
CAUCUCUGCCCCUUCUGUUGAUAUCCCCAUGUUUGUGAUGGGUGUAAACAAUGAGAAGUGCGAAAACAGCCUCAGUAUUAUCAGCAAUGCCUCCUGCACCACCAACUGCUUAGCCCCCUUGGCUAAGGUCAUCUAUGACAACUUCGGCAUUGUGGAGGGACCCAUGACCACAGUCCAUGCCAUCACUGCCACCCAGAAGACUGUGGAUGGCCCCUCUGGGAAGUUGUGGCGUGAUUGUUAUGGUGCUCUCCAGAACAUCAUCCCUGCCUCAACUGGUGCAGCCAAGGUUGUGGGCAAGGUCAUCCAUGACAACUUCAGCAGUGUGGAGGGACUCAUGACCACAGUCCAUGCCAUCACUGCCACCCAGAAGACUGUGGAUGGCCCCUCUGGGAUGAUGUGGCGUGAUAGCCAAGGGGCUCUCCAGAAUAUCAUCCCUGUCUCAACUGGUGCAGCAAAGGCUAUGAGCAAGGUCAGCCCUGAGGUGGAUGGGAAGCUCACUGGCAUGGCCUUCCAUGUCCCCACUGCCAACAUGUUAGUCGUGGAUCUCACCUGCCAUCUGGAGAAGGCUACCAAAUACGAUGAUAUCAAAAAAGUGGUGACUCAGGCAUUGGAGGGCCCCUUAAGGGCAUCCUGGGUUACACCGAGCACCAGGUCAUCUCCUCUGACUUCAACAGUGACACCCAUUCUUCCACCUUUGAUGCUGGGGCUGGCAUUGCUCUCAACGACCACUUUGUCAAACUCAUUGCCUGGUAUGACAAUGAAUUUGGCUACAGCAACAGGGUGGUGGAUCUUAUGGCCCACAUGACCUCCAAGGAGUAAGAGCUCCUGGACCACCAGCCCCAGCCAGAGCACGAGAGAAAGAGAGAGGCCCUCAGCUGCUGGGGUGCCCCUGCCUACUCAGUCCCCCACCUUACUGAGAGUCUCCCCUCUAUACAGUUUCCACACCAGACCCCCUCAAGAACAGGAGGGGACUGGGGAGUCCCAGCUUGUCAUGUACCAUCAAUAAAGUUCUCUGUACUCAGCCAAAAAAAAAAAAAA